ACUUUAAAUCUUCGGAAUUGUAGUCUGGAGAAGCUAAGCCAGCAAUGUGUACUUUGUUAAGUCUCCUGGAACGGAGCACCAAUGAGGGUGAUAGUCCCGUGCAUACAAAGAACCCAUUGUGUACGGCUGGUUUUCGACGAGUCGAGUUGCUUGGGAUUGCAGCUCUAAGUGGGUGGUAAAUUCCAUCUAAAGCUAAAUAUUGGUGGGAGACCGAUAGCAAACAAGUACCGUGAGGGAAAGAUGAAAAGAACUUUGAAAAGAGAGUUAAAGAGUACCUGAAAUUGCUGAAAUGGAACCGAUGGGAGGCAGUGUUGGCAGAUUACUAUUUCUUGUAUUCCGCUUGCGGGGUAUAGCCUAUAGUAAUCUGCAAGUCUUGCUUACUUGAUUGUGUGCGAAAAACCUCAAAACUGUAUGUGUUGAGAGCAUUAGCAUGCAAUCGAGUGACUAAGACGAAAUGCCUCUCAUCAUCCCGUCUUGAAACACGGACCAAGGAGUCUAACAUGUUUGCGAGUGCUCGGAGUUCAUCUCCCAGCGCGGAAUUAAUGUAAAUGUGAACCUAGUUCACUGAGGUAGAAUGCUUAGGCUGCACUAUCGACCGACCAUGCUCCUACGGGAAAAAGGUUUGAGUGUGAGCAUACAUGUUGGGACCCGAAAGAUGGUGAACUAUGCUUGAGUAGGACGAAGCCAGGGGAAACUCUGGUGGAGGUCCGCCGCGAUUCU
RNAcentral lists this ribosomal RNA (720 nucleotides) under Synura sp. RNAcentral's name for it is "eukaryotic LSU rRNA". It matches the Rfam family "Eukaryotic large subunit ribosomal RNA", at positions 113 to 887 of the family's 3401-position model. Lineage: Eukaryota; Synurophyceae; Synurales; Mallomonadaceae. The record is from RNAcentral.